This 536-nucleotide ribosomal RNA is filed under the name uncultured organism. Its description in RNAcentral is "bacterial SSU rRNA". It matches the Rfam family "Bacterial small subunit ribosomal RNA", at positions 38 to 561 of the family's 1533-position model. The record is from RNAcentral.
AGCUACAGGCUUAACACAUGCAAGUCGAGGGGAAACGACAUCGAAAGCUUGCCUUUGAUGGGCGUCGACCGGCGCACGGGUGAGUAACGCGUAUCCAACCUGCCCACCACUUGGGGAUAACCUUGCGAAAGUAAGACUAAUACCCAAUGAUAUCUCUAGAAGACAUCUGAAAGGGAUUAAAGAUUUAUCGGUGAUGGAUGGGGAUGCGUCUGAUUAGCUUGUUGGCGGGGUAACGGCCCACCAAGGCUACGAUCAGUAGGGGUUCUGAGAGGAAGGUCCCCCACAUUGGAACUGAGACACGGUCCAAACUCCUACGGGAGGCAGCAGUGAGGAAUAUUGGUCAAUGGACGAGAGUCUGAACCAGCCAAGUAGCGUGCAGGAUGACGGCCCUAUGGGUUGUAAACUGCUUUUAUAAGGGAAUAAAGUGAGUCUCGUGAGACUUUUUGCAUGUACCUUAUGAAUAAGGACCGGCUAAUUCCGUGCCAGCAGCCGCGGUAAUACGGAAGGUCCGGGCGUUAUCCGGAUUUAUUGGGUUU